RNAcentral lists this ribosomal RNA (521 nucleotides) under Gasterophilus pecorum. Its description in RNAcentral is "partial 16S ribosomal RNA". It matches the Rfam family "Bacterial large subunit ribosomal RNA", at positions 1809 to 2604 of the family's 2925-position model. Lineage: Eukaryota; Metazoa; Arthropoda; Insecta; Diptera; Oestridae. The record is from RNAcentral.
AAAAACAUGUCCUUUUGAUUGAAUAUAAGGUCUAGCCUGCCCACUGAUAAUUAAAUGGCCGCAGUAUUUUAACUGUGCAAAGGUAGCAUAAUCAUUAGUCUUUUAAUUGGAGGCUGGUAUGAAUGGUUGGACGAGACACUGACUGUUUCAUGUGAAAUUGAAUUAGAAUUUUAUUUUUUAGUAAAAAAGCUGAAAUGUAUUUUAAAGACGAGAAGACCCUAUAAAUCUUUAUAGUUAGUUUAUUAUAGUUUUGUAGAUUUAUUAUGUUGUAAUAAUUAGUACUAUUUUGUUGGGGUGAUGUUAAAAUUUAUUAAACUUUUAAAUUUUGUUACAUUAAUUAAUGAUUGAAUGAUCCGUUAAUAACGAUUAUAAAAUUAAGUUACUUUAGGGAUAACAGCGUAAUUUUUUUGGAGAGUUCUUAUCGAUAAAAGGGAUUGCGACCUCGAUGUUGGAUUAAGAGAUAGGUUUAGGUGUAGCAGUUUAAAUUUUAAGUCUGUUCGACUUUUAAUUUCUUACAUGAC